Oryctolagus cuniculus (rabbit) is the source of this 749-nucleotide non-coding RNA. Lineage: Eukaryota; Metazoa; Chordata; Mammalia; Lagomorpha; Leporidae. The record is from RefSeq and is a predicted model, not a curated record.
CUUAACUUGCACCGCACCCCGCACCGGAGCCCGCAUUCCCGGCUCGCGUGGCCGGCAGAGCCCAUCUCCCACGGGGACGGGCCGGCUCGCCGAGGACACGGGGGGGUGGGGGUGGCUGGCGCUGGUUUUAGGAGGGAAGCAGCAGGCUGGGAGCUUGGCCCUGGUCCAGCCGGCGAAGCCCCGCCCCUGCAUCAGCUUUGAGGCCCCUGGGCUGAGUGUAUGCACGGCCCAGGUGUGUGGGGGCCCUGGGCUGCCUGGUGUAUGCACGGCCCAGGUGUGUGGGGGCCCUGGGCUGAGUGUACGCACCGCCCAGGUGUGUGGGGGCCCUGGGCUGAGUGUAUGCACUGCCCAGGUGUGUGGGGGCCCUGGGCUGAGUGUAUGCACUGCCCAGGUGUGUGGGGGCCCUGGGCUGCCUGGUGUAUGCACGGCCCAGGUGUGUGGGGGCCCUGGGCUGCCUGGUGUAUGCACGGCCCAGGUGUGUGGGGGGCCCUGGGCUGAGUGUAUGCACUGCCCAGGUGUGUGUGGGGCCCUACUGUGCGCCGCGCAUCUAAAACGGGGUGAACGGACCAGACCGAACCCUGCCCGGGAGCUGGCACGAAAGGGAAGUGGGAGACCCGACACCUCCAGGGUGCCGCUGCCGGGCUGCGCGCAGACGGACCCCGGGCCCAGCCGGCGCCAGGACGCGGCCCCGGCUAUUUAAAAUUUAUCUGAGAAACACAAACACAUCACCACCCCGCCCACCUGCUGGU